AUAUUAGGGUUAAAUUAGUUCUUUUCUUGUCUAAAAUACCCUUUUCCCAUGUGUUAAAAAUAAAAUAAAUACAAAAAUACCCUUUAAAAAAACUUCCAGCAAUUUUAAAAAAGUCUAUCGUUUAGUUAUGAGAGAUUUAUUCUUAUUCCCCAGACUUUUUUUAACUGUGAUAGAUUUUUUAUGGCAGACUUUUUUGGUUGACAGACUUCUUAGAAGAUAGUGAUAACAGAUUUAUAAAUUAUAGCAGAUUUAAUUUGAUUGACAGAUUUUUAGUUUAUUCAACCACAGACUUUCAUAUAAUUUGACAGACUUAUUUUUUUUGUGGAUGUUUUUUUACGUUAAAUGAUGGCAAAUUUAUAAUUUUGUUAAAAAAAUCUGUCACAUUGUAACAGAUUUGUUGUCAAAAAAUUAAUUACUAGAAUGACGUCUAACGAUAAUCAAUUUUUUUAAUGUUAUGACAGACUUGUUUUAUGUUAUAACAGAUUCUUGUAAUUUUACACGAUAUCUGUCGUUUGAUGACAUCUUUGUUUUCUAAAAUAUAAUGUUUUGUGUUAUGACAGAUUGUUUUAUGUUGUGACAGAUAAAUUUAUAUUACCAUAAAUCUGUCGUUUGAUAGCAGGUUUAAUAA
This 628-nucleotide small RNA is filed under the name Arabidopsis thaliana (thale cress). RNAcentral's name for it is "ATSL081880". The record is from RNAcentral. Lineage: Eukaryota; Viridiplantae; Streptophyta; Magnoliopsida; Brassicales; Brassicaceae.